Pelobates cultripes (western spadefoot toad) is the source of this 561-nucleotide non-coding RNA. Lineage: Eukaryota; Metazoa; Chordata; Amphibia; Anura; Pelobatidae. The record is from the annotation of a GenBank genome assembly.
UUGAGGAGGCGGUGACCAUGGCGGUAUAGGUGGAAGCAGCGGUGGAGUAGGAGGAUGAGGUAGCCAACACUGUUUUAUAUAAAUAUAUAUAUAUAUUUUAUUUUUUUAAUUUGGGUAACCCCCAAACUAUUGGGACAUAUAAAAAAAGACAACUCUGUUCUGCAGAGUAGCUGUUGACAUUAUAGUUGUGCAGGCACUUUGUUGACUCUAGAGAACCUCGAGCCAAUCGCACAUCCCCGUGACGGCGACUUUGCAUUCAGAUGUCAUCCAUAUCAACUUUCGAUGCCAGUUUCUGGGCCCUGGUGACUACGGGUAACAGGGAAUCAGGGUUCCAUUCCGUACAGGCACCCUGAGAAAUGGCUACCACAUGCAAUGAAGGCAGCAGGUGCGCAAAUUACCCAUUCCCGACGCGGGAAGGUAGUGACGACAAAUAACAAUACAGGACUCUUUAGAGGCCCUGUAAUUGUAAUGAGUCCACUUGAAAUCCUUUAACUCUGAUCAAUUGGAGGAAAGUCUGGUGCAGGGCCACUGACCCGUGCGUGCUGCAGCUGAAACUCCACU